ACAUACGACCAUAGGCAAAGUUAUUUUCAGGAACCCGUUGGAUCUCCACUUGAUAAACCUUUGACCGGUGGCAUAGUAGGCAGCUGGGUGACCACUGGCGAAUCCCUACUGUUGUAUGUU
This 120-nucleotide ribosomal RNA is filed under the name Exserohilum turcica Et28A. Lineage: Eukaryota; Fungi; Ascomycota; Dothideomycetes; Pleosporales; Pleosporaceae. The record is from RNAcentral.